This 73-nucleotide transfer RNA is filed under the name Rhipicephalus sanguineus (brown dog tick). Its description in RNAcentral is "transfer RNA lysine (anticodon CUU)". It matches the Rfam family "tRNA". From Rfam's summary of the family: Transfer RNA (tRNA) molecules are approximately 80 nucleotides in length. Their secondary structure includes four short double-helical elements and three loops (D, anti-codon, and T loops). Lineage: Eukaryota; Metazoa; Arthropoda; Arachnida; Ixodida; Ixodidae. The record is from Rfam by way of RNAcentral.
GCCGCCGUAGCUCAAUUGGUAGAGCAUCGGACGCUUCAUUCGAAAGUUGCAGGUUCGGUCCCUGCCGGCGGCA